AUCAGGCGGACUCCCAGCUGGGACCGCGAAGGUGUUCCUGCACGUGCUGGUGCCUCCUGCCAGCUAGUUUCAAUAAGCAGGUCUUCCUGAGGCACAUGGGGGCCUUAUCCAGGUGGCACAAAGAUCCAAAGAGCAAAGAGGAAGAAACGCCUCUGCGGUCUGCAGCCCAGGGGCCCCGACUGUGGCCUGGUUAGGCACCAGCCUUGCCCGCUGAGUGCAUGGGCAGCUCCUCAAACUAGGCCUGUGGUGCUUCCUGACCCUUACCCUGUGUGCACCCGCCCACCUGUGGCCGCCUCUCUCCACCUCUGCGCCCUGCAGGAGGGUCGUGACUGUUACACACCGCUGUGAAGGUGAAGGAAGUGG
RNAcentral lists this long non-coding RNA (363 nucleotides) under Marmota monax (woodchuck). Lineage: Eukaryota; Metazoa; Chordata; Mammalia; Rodentia; Sciuridae. The record is from RNAcentral.